RNAcentral lists this long non-coding RNA (1580 nucleotides) under Schizosaccharomyces pombe (fission yeast). Lineage: Eukaryota; Fungi; Ascomycota; Schizosaccharomycetes; Schizosaccharomycetales; Schizosaccharomycetaceae. The record is from RNAcentral.
CAAGCUUUGCGCGGCUGUCUUUGUCGAUUUACCGAUUUAAGCAGCGAGAUGUAGUUAAUUUUUAAGAAACGGAACUUUCGCCAACGAAAAAAUCCGAAAUUGAUCAGUAUGGACCAACAAAAUUAAAUUGAUAAAUUAUAUCGAUCUGUCUCAAGGGAGAAGGGAAGGCGAGAACAAAAGUAAUAACCGUCGGUGUUUUUAGACACAAAUGGAAUUACAGAUAAAUUAGAAACUUGCAAGUUUUCAAGUUUGAACACUAAAAGAUGUCAAAAAAUUGAGACGUAUUGUAUUCGGCAAUAACAAGACCUUGUUAUUUUAACAACCAAAAACUAAGUGCCUACAAUAAUUUGCAAUUGAAACUAUUACAAGAAGGGAUUAAAGAUUAAGCUAGAUUGCUUGACCCUAAAGUUGUGAAAGACUUUUUGAAAAGUAGAGGAAUUGGAUGUUUUUGAACUGCGGAAUGCAGGUUAAAACUGCGAUAUAUAUAUUUUGCUGGUGUUCUUGAAAACACGAGAUUUUUUUACAAAUCGUAUCAUCUCAUUGUAGGCAAAAUCUGAUGUUUUUUUUUUGCUGGUAACAUGUGAUGUAGCGGAUCUAAACUACACUACACUAUAUUAGAGCGGGAAGCAAAUAUAUCUCGCUAUAAUUGUUAGGGACUAAAAAAUGUGGCUACAAGUCGUAGCAUUCAACGGAAGCUUUUUGUUACUUUUUACUCCCUUUGAUACUGGGAUUUUUUUAAACUAUCGGAAGGGUUAAAGUUGUACAUUCCGCUGAACACAGAUAGUAAAAAAAAUCGUUUGACAAAAAAAAAAAAAUUUGUUUUCCGUUUUUUGUUUGGAAUCCGUCUAGGUCGUUAGUAAUUUAACAAUUUCAGCGAAAGACAGCAAUUGAAUGGGUUUUAAUUUUCGGUACAAAGAGAAUUGACUUUUUAUGAAGCGACUACGAAGGACACUUGAUAUUGCUAUUUUCAACAAAAAAUAACAUAAUGUCGAUAAUUAAACUACCACGGCUUGUAAAUAGAAAAUAGCACUGAAGCGACCUGUGAAAUUGUCAGCGUGCUAUUGCUAAACAAUGAUUCCGUGUAAUUUUAUAUGAUUGUGCUUUCAUAACAGAUGUGCAUGCGUAGAAAGAAAAGCUAUAAACAAUCAACAUAGAAUACCAUUCACACUAGGAGUAGCAUACCUUAAACUCAUAGGAUCCAAUGAAUUAACUUGCAAAUCCAUUUAAUAGUUAGAUUGACUGAUUUGUACCAAAUUGGUAAAAUGCCGGUCCCCAUCCCCUCUAAAAAAAGGACUCUUUUAUUUACCGGGAUGCCAUUGACAUCUCUUCUGUUUUGCAUGUUUUGGAAUUGAAAAUGCAAUAAUAAAAAGGAAUCAAUAAUUUUGGAUUCCUGUCUAAUAAUUGACGGUUUUGUUAUCUUGGUUGAAAAAUCCAUCCCAGCUGCCUAAAAGCUGCUACAACCUUUGUUUAAUUAGUGCGACACAGUUAAAAAUACUAUAUGUUUCGUAAUACAGUGGAUGAUUUCCAUUAAACUUUUGACUAGAUCAGCAGCGAUUUUUAAAGUACAUUAUACCUUAGCC